Molecule: non-coding RNA, 81 nt
Organism: Xenopus laevis (African clawed frog)
Lineage: Eukaryota; Metazoa; Chordata; Amphibia; Anura; Pipidae
Source: Rfam
UGGGCACUAGAUUCAAGUAAUCCAGGAUAGGCUGUAAUGUCUCCUGUCAGCCUAUUCUCGAUUACUUGGGUCCAGAGCCAA